RNAcentral lists this ribosomal RNA (465 nucleotides) under Vreelandella stevensii. RNAcentral describes it as "partial 16S ribosomal RNA". It matches the Rfam family "Bacterial small subunit ribosomal RNA", at positions 338 to 795 of the family's 1533-position model. Lineage: Bacteria; Pseudomonadati; Pseudomonadota; Gammaproteobacteria; Oceanospirillales; Halomonadaceae. The record is from RNAcentral.
CCUACGGGAGGCAGCAGUGGGGAAUAUUGGACAAUGGGCGAAAGCCUGAUCCAGCCAUGCCGCGUGUGUGAAGAAGGCCUUCGGGUUGUAAAGCACUUUCAGUGGGGAAGAAAGCCUUGGGGCUAAUACCCUCGAGGAAGGACAUCACCUACAGAAGAAGCACCGGCUAACUCCGUGCCAGCAGCCGCGGUAAUACGGAGGGUGCGAGCGUUAAUCGGAAUUACUGGGCGUAAAGCGCGCGUAGGCGGUCUGAUAAGCCGGUUGUGAAAGCCCCGGGCUCAACCUGGGAACGGCAUCCGGAACUGUCAGGCUAGAGUGCAGGAGAGGAAGGUAGAAUUCCCGGUGUAGCGGUGAAAUGCGUAGAGAUCGGGAGGAAUACCAGUGGCGAAGGCGGCCUUCUGGACUGACACUGACGCUGAGGUGCGAAAGCGUGGGUAGCAAACAGGAUUAGAUACCCCGGUAGUC